AGGAACCGAAAGGCGACCGACCCUUCGGGAGCUUGCACAGGUGCUGCAUGGCUGUCGUCAGCUCGUGUCGUGAGAUGUUCGGUUAAGUCCGCUAACGAGCGCAACCCUCGCUGUGUGUUACAAGUGUCACACGGUACUGCCGGUCUUAAGCCGGAGGAAGGUGGGGAUGACGUCAAGUCAGCAUGGCCUUUAUGUCCUGGGCUACACACACGCUACAAUGGCCAACACAAUAGGUUGCUAAGCCGCGAGGUGGAGCCAAUCCUCAAAGUUGGUCUCAGUUCAGAUUGCAGGCUGCAACCCGCCUGCAUGAAGAUGGAGUUGCUAGUAACCGCAGGUCGGCUAUACUGCGGUGAAUACGUUCCCGGGGCUU
Molecule: ribosomal RNA, 370 nt
Filed under: uncultured Leptolinea sp.
Lineage: Bacteria; Bacillati; Chloroflexota; Anaerolineae; Anaerolineales; Anaerolineaceae
Description: bacterial SSU rRNA
Rfam family: Bacterial small subunit ribosomal RNA
Source: RNAcentral